GAACCGUACGAACGUUAUUCGGAAUCACUGGGCUUAAAGGGUGCGUAGGCGGCGCGGAAAGUUGGGUGUGAAAUCCCUCGGCUCAACCGAGGAACUGCGCCCAAAACUACCGUGCUCGAGGGAGACAGAGGUGAGCGGAACUUAGGGUGGAGCGGUGAAAUGCGUUGAUAUCCUAAGGAACACCUGUGGCGAAAGCGGCUCACUGGGUCUUUUCUGACGCUGAGGCACGAAAGCUAGGGGAGCGAACGGGAUUAGAUACCCCGGUAGUCCUAGCUGUAAACGAUGAGCACUGGGUUGGAGGGUCCUCCAUAGCCUUCCAGCCGCAGCGAAAGUGUUAAGUGCUCCGCCUGGGGAGUAUGGUCGCAAGGCUGAA
Molecule: ribosomal RNA, 373 nt
Filed under: uncultured bacterium
Lineage: Bacteria
Description: bacterial SSU rRNA
Rfam family: Bacterial small subunit ribosomal RNA
Source: RNAcentral